AGCAGCCGCGGUAAUUCCAGCUCCAAUAGCGUAUAUUAAAGUUGUUGCAGUUAAAAAGCUCGUAGUUGAAUUUCGGGAUCAGUAGGUUGGUCAUGCCUAUGGUAUGUACUGGCUUUACUGGUUCCUCCUUCUUGAUGAUCUGUAAUGUCAUUAAUUUGGUGUUGCAGGGAGUCAGGACUGUUACUUUGAAAAAAUUAGAGUGUUUAAAGCAGGCAUACGCUUGAAUACAUUAGCAUGGAAUAAUGAAAUAGGACGUUCGAUCCUAUUUUGUUGGUUUCUAGGAUUGACGUAA
This 292-nucleotide ribosomal RNA is filed under the name uncultured Glomeraceae. Its description in RNAcentral is "partial small subunit ribosomal RNA". It matches the Rfam family "Eukaryotic small subunit ribosomal RNA", at positions 569 to 865 of the family's 1831-position model. Lineage: Eukaryota; Fungi; Glomeromycota; Glomeromycetes; Glomerales; Glomeraceae. The record is from RNAcentral.